UACGGAGGGAGCUAGCGUUGUUCGGAAUUACUGGGCGUAAAGCGCACGUAGGCGGCUUUUUUAAGUCAGGGGGUGAAAUCCCCGGGGCUCAACCCCGGAACUGCCCCUUGAAACUGGAGAGCUAGAAUCUUGGAGAGGCGAGUGGAAUUCCGAGUGUAGAGGUGAAAUUCGUAGAUAUUCGGAAGAACACCAGUGGCGAAGGCGACU
RNAcentral lists this ribosomal RNA (207 nucleotides) under uncultured bacterium. Its description in RNAcentral is "partial 16S ribosomal RNA". It matches the Rfam family "Bacterial small subunit ribosomal RNA", at positions 524 to 726 of the family's 1533-position model. The record is from RNAcentral.